Molecule: ribosomal RNA, 520 nt
Filed under: uncultured bacterium
Lineage: Bacteria
Description: bacterial SSU rRNA
Rfam family: Bacterial small subunit ribosomal RNA
Source: RNAcentral
AGUGAACGCUGGCGGCAGGCCUAAUACAUGCAAGUCGAACGGCAGCACAGCAGAGCUUGCUCUGUGGGUGGCGAGUGGCGGACGGGUGAGGAAUACAUGGGAAUCUGCCCAGUCGUGGGGGAUAACGUAGGGAAACUUACGCUAAUACCGCAUGCGCCCUUCGGGGGAAAGCCGGGGACCUUCGGGCCUGGCGCGAUUGGAUGAGCCCAUGUCGGAUUAGCUAGUUGGCGGGGUAAAGGCCCACCAAGGCGACGAUCCGUAGCUGGUCUGAGAGGAUGAUCAGCCACACUGGAACUGAGACACGGUCCAGACUCCUACGGGAGGCAGCAGUAGGGAAUAUUGGACAAUGGGCGCAAGCCUGAUCCAGCCAUGCCGCGUGAGUGAAGAAGGCCCUCGGGUUGUAAAGCUCUUUUGUCCGGAAAGAAAAGCGCCGGGUUAAUACCCUGGUGUCCUGACGGUACCGAAGAAGUAAGUACGACCGACCGUAACCUUACGUUCGGUCCGACGCGACGACCGGACC